RNAcentral lists this ribosomal RNA (460 nucleotides) under uncultured bacterium. RNAcentral describes it as "partial 16S ribosomal RNA". It matches the Rfam family "Bacterial small subunit ribosomal RNA", at positions 338 to 795 of the family's 1533-position model. The record is from RNAcentral.
CCUACGGGAGGCAGCAGUGAGGAAUAUUGGUCAAUGGCCGUAAGGCUGAACCAGCCAAGUCGCGUGAAGGAAGAAGGAUCUAUGGUUUGUAAACUUCUUUUAUAGGGGAAUAAAGGUAUCCACGUGUGGAUAUUUGCAUGUACCCUAUGAAUAAGCAUCGGCUAACUCCGUGCCAGCAGCCGCGGUAAUACGGAGGAUGCGAGCGUUAUCCGGAUUUAUUGGGUUUAAAGGGUGCGUAGGUUGGUUUUUAAGUCAGCGGUGAAAGUUUGUGGCUCAACCAUAAAAUUGCCGUUGAAACUGGAAGACGUGAGUGUGUUUGAGGUAGGCGGAAUGCGUGGUGUAGCGGUGAAAUGCAUAGAUAGCACGCAGAACGCCGAUUGCGAAGGCAGCUUACUAAGCCAUAACUGACACUGAAGCACGAAAGCGUGGGGAUCAAACAGGAUUAGAUACCCCUGUAGUC